Long non-coding RNA from Xiphophorus hellerii (green swordtail), 98 nucleotides. RefSeq lists it as uncharacterized. Lineage: Eukaryota; Metazoa; Chordata; Actinopteri; Cyprinodontiformes; Poeciliidae. The transcript has 3 exons. The record is from RefSeq and is a predicted model, not a curated record.
AAAUAGAUCUAUUUCACAAAACUGCAAUGGAAACGCUUUUUUUGCAUCACGAGUCACUUGAUGAACAGCAGGAUGUUACCACUGGCAGAAACCACAAA